RNAcentral lists this long non-coding RNA (219 nucleotides) under Ananas comosus (pineapple). Its description in RNAcentral is "long non-coding RNA (ACOM_LNC037357)". The record is from RNAcentral. Lineage: Eukaryota; Viridiplantae; Streptophyta; Magnoliopsida; Poales; Bromeliaceae.
GAAACCGAUGAUACACCCACCUCACAAGCAAUUCCCUGGCAGCAAGGAGGUUCCGAAUCUGCUGGAAGUUCAGCCGAACACCCACACCACCAGCAACUAUCCACCUUAAAGAUCUAACCCCAAAAUUCAGCAAAAAAUUCAUCAAUUCACAUAAUUCCAGCAUUUAAACAUAAAUUGUCUCAACCACAAUGUCAAAACUCACCUAAAGAUCUCCAAUUU